UACAGAGGUGGCAAGCGUUGUUCGGAAUUACUGGGCGUAAAGGGCGCGUAGGCGGCCUUCUAAGUCGGACGUGAAAGCCCCAGGCUUAACCUGGGAACUGCGUCCGAUACUGGGAGGCUUGGAUUCGGGAGAGGGAUGUGGAAUUCCAGGUGUAGCGGUGAAAUGCGUAGAUAUCUGGAGGAACACCGGUGGCGAAGGCGGCAUCCUGGACCGAGAUCGACGCUGAGGCGCGAAAGUGCGGGGAUCAAACAGG
Molecule: ribosomal RNA, 253 nt
Filed under: uncultured bacterium
Lineage: Bacteria
Description: partial 16S ribosomal RNA
Rfam family: Bacterial small subunit ribosomal RNA
Source: RNAcentral